Molecule: long non-coding RNA, 560 nt
Organism: Chenopodium quinoa (quinoa)
Lineage: Eukaryota; Viridiplantae; Streptophyta; Magnoliopsida; Caryophyllales; Amaranthaceae
Exons: 2
Source: RefSeq, a predicted model, not a curated record
GCUCCAGAUGGAAUUAUAUAUGCCGACACCCAAGUGUAGGAUAAUAUACCUACACCCCCAUCCACCCACCUAUCAAAUAAAGUAAUUUUUGAAAAGAAAAAAAAUUAGAUUAUAAAUUAUCAACUUCAUCUUACUGUUUCUCUCUCAAAAAUUCCAUCCUCCCUUUUCUCUCUCCAAAAACCUUCAUCCUUCAUUUUCUCAGAAUUCUUCAUCCUCUUUAUUUUCUCUCUCUAAAAACCCUCAUGCUCUCCAUAAUCUCUCUCUAAAAACCUUCAUUUUUUUCUUUUAAGGAGCUUCAUCAUAAUCUAUUCACGUCUCCACUUACCGAAACUUCAUUGUCGACGCAAAUUCAUUGAUGAGAAUGAUGAAAUAAAAAAGUUUAAGAUGAUAAUGUAUAUAUUGAGAAAAUAUAUAUAUCAAGAAAAGCACACAAACAAGUUGAAGGGAUACAACCAUACAACAAGGAGGAUGAUUCUAUAUACCUUUUAUGUACUAAAUCAAGAGACGAUGUUCAUUUUGUAAGACACAUAUGUGAUAUGUACAUUUUUCAAGUUUAAAUU